RNAcentral lists this long non-coding RNA (575 nucleotides) under Pongo abelii (Sumatran orangutan). Its description in RNAcentral is "lincRNA". The record is from RNAcentral. Lineage: Eukaryota; Metazoa; Chordata; Mammalia; Primates; Hominidae.
GUUCUGCGCUGUGAGCCGGGGCACAAAGAGCCCUCUGCACUCGCGCCGCAGGACCGCGGACCCAAGAGAGCAGCAAGUUCCUGGGACAGAGGAGAGAGAAGGGAAUUUCCAGGUUCUUCAGGACGUUCACAACCACACUGAGAAGCAUCUUUGCAGAUAAGUAUUUAAACUUACCAGCCCAUAGCCUACCAGCCUGCCCUCUUCUGGUCUGUGCAGGAAAGUGUAGUAUCCUAGAAUACCAAAGUGGGAGGGGAAACGGGUGAUGUAGCUCAUUCUCUUUUCUACCUCUAUGGAAGAAAGAAAGAGCCUGUCCCCAUUUUGUGGGGUCCCAGAAAGGGUGAUUUUUCACACUCCACAUUUGGCAUUAGGGCUAGUAUUUUAUAAACGUCACUGUAUGGAACUUUUGAAGGCUGAGUUAAAUGACUUCAUCUUGUGUACUUGUAGAACUGCUAUUAGAAGGAGGCUGGGGACUCCCUGAUGAUGUGAACCAGCCCUUCUCUUCUCAGUUUUAGCAUUUUGUGAUCAUAUUUAUAAACCUCGGCUAGGGCUCCUUGGCCUUACAGUUAGGUGAAGAG